This 72-nucleotide transfer RNA is filed under the name Tilletia horrida. Its description in RNAcentral is "tRNA-Gln". It matches the Rfam family "tRNA". From Rfam's summary of the family: Transfer RNA (tRNA) molecules are approximately 80 nucleotides in length. Their secondary structure includes four short double-helical elements and three loops (D, anti-codon, and T loops). Lineage: Eukaryota; Fungi; Basidiomycota; Exobasidiomycetes; Tilletiales; Tilletiaceae. The record is from RNAcentral.
GGUUGUAUAGUCUAGUGGUUAGGACGUCGGAUUUUGAUUCCGGACACCUGGGUUCGAACCCCAGUACGACCU